UACGUAGGGCGCAAGCGUUAUCCGGAAUUAUUGGGCGUAAAGAGCUCGUAGGCGGUUUGUCGCGUCUGCCGUGAAAGUCCGGGGCUUAACCCCGGAUCUGCGGUGGGUACGGGCAGACUUGAGUGAUGUAGGGGUGACUGGAAUUCCUGGUGUAGCGGUGAAAUGCGCAGAUAUCAGGAGGAACACCGAUGGCGAAGGCAGGUCUCUGGGCAUUAACUGACGCUGAGGAGCGAAAGCAUGGGGAGCGAACAGG
RNAcentral lists this ribosomal RNA (253 nucleotides) under uncultured bacterium. Its description in RNAcentral is "partial 16S ribosomal RNA". It matches the Rfam family "Bacterial small subunit ribosomal RNA", at positions 524 to 776 of the family's 1533-position model. The record is from RNAcentral.